CAGCAGCCGGCCAGUGUCUGUCUCAAAGCUUCCACGUGCGAGCCUUCCUUUAAAUAUUUCUCUCACUACAAUUUUCUGCCAAAUUAGAUUAUAUUUUGGCUGAUUUUCCCGAAGUUGCUGUGCAUUGAGGAUUUUAUUAACGUGUGGUCGUGUGAGUCGAGAGAGAAUACCAAUGGAUAUUUUAUAGUGUUGGUGAGUUCUUUUAUAAAAUAAUUAAAGCACCGACAGAAUCGUUGUAAGUAGGAUUUCUUGUGUCAGUUUGAUUUGAUUGGAACGACUGUCAACUGGAAAAAGGGUGGUGGCUU
RNAcentral lists this long non-coding RNA (305 nucleotides) under Elaeis guineensis (African oil palm). Its description in RNAcentral is "long non-coding RNA (EGUI_LNC069561)". The record is from RNAcentral. Lineage: Eukaryota; Viridiplantae; Streptophyta; Magnoliopsida; Arecales; Arecaceae.